UAGGGUGGCCGGUCGUUGAAAC
This 22-nucleotide microRNA is filed under the name Ixodes ricinus (castor bean tick). RNAcentral's name for it is "iri-miR-X10-5p". The record is from RNAcentral. Lineage: Eukaryota; Metazoa; Arthropoda; Arachnida; Ixodida; Ixodidae.